CCUACGGGGGGCAGCAGUGAGGAAUAUUGGUCAAUGGGCGGGAGUCUGAACCAGCCAAGUCGCGUGAGGGACGACGGUCCUAUGGAUUGUAAACUUCUUUUGUCGGGGAAUAAAGGCGUCCACGGGUGGACGGAUGAGUGUACCCGAAGAAAAAGCAUCGGCUAACUCCGUGCCAGCAGCCGCGGUAAUACGGAGGAUGCGAGCGUUAUCCGGAUUUAUUGGGUUUAAAGGGUGCGUAGGCGGACAGUAAAGUCAGCGGUAAAAAUGUGGUGCUCAACGCCGUACAGCCGUUGAAACUGGCAGUCUUGAGUGCGCGAGAGGUAGGCGGAAUGCGUGGUGUAGCGGUGAAAUGCUUAGAUAUCACGAAGAACUCCGAUUGCGAAGGCAGCAUACCGGCGCGCUACUGACGCUGAGGCACGAAAGCGUGGGUAUCGAACAGGAUUAGAUACCCCGGUAGUC
RNAcentral lists this ribosomal RNA (459 nucleotides) under uncultured bacterium. RNAcentral's name for it is "partial 16S ribosomal RNA". It matches the Rfam family "Bacterial small subunit ribosomal RNA", at positions 338 to 795 of the family's 1533-position model. The record is from RNAcentral.